CGGAUGUAGCUCAGUUGGUAGAGCGCCGGUUUGUGGUACCGGUGGUCGCGGGUUCAAGUCCCGUCAUUC
RNAcentral lists this transfer RNA (69 nucleotides) under uncultured Bombella sp. It matches the Rfam family "tRNA". From Rfam's summary of the family: Transfer RNA (tRNA) molecules are approximately 80 nucleotides in length. Lineage: Bacteria; Pseudomonadati; Pseudomonadota; Alphaproteobacteria; Acetobacterales; Acetobacteraceae. The record is from RNAcentral.